GAAUUGACGGGGGCCCGCACAAGCGGUGGAGCAUGUGGUUUAAUUCGAUGCAACGCGAAGAACCUUACCUGGUCUUGACAUCCACGGAAGUUUUCAGAGAUGAGAAUGUGCCUUCGGGAACCGUGAGACAGGUGCUGCAUGGCUGUCGUCAGCUCGUGUUGUGAAAUGUUGGGUUAAGUCCCGCAACGAGCGCAACCCUUAUCCUUUGUUGCCAGCGGUCCGGCCGGGAACUCAAAGGAGACUGCCAGUGAUAAACUGGAGGAAGGUGGGGAUGACGUCAAGUCAUCAUGGCCCUUACGACCAGGGCUACACACGUGCUACAAUGGCGCAUACAAAGAGAAGCGACCUCGCGAGAGCAAGCGGACCUCAUAAAGUGCGUCGUAGUCCGGAUUGGAGUCUGCAACUCGACUCCAUGAAGUCGGAAUCGCUAGUAAUCGUGGAUCAGAAUGCCACGGUGAAUACGUUCCCGGGCCUUGUACACACCGCCCGUCACACCAUGGGAGUGGGUUGCAAAAGAAGUAGGUAGCUUAACCUUCGGGAGGGCGCUUACCACUUUGUGAUUCAUGACUGGGGUGAAGUCGUAACAAGGUAACCGUAGGGGAACCUGCGGUUGGAUCACCUCCUUACCUUAAAGAAGC
This 638-nucleotide ribosomal RNA is filed under the name Escherichia coli. RNAcentral describes it as "bacterial SSU rRNA". It matches the Rfam family "Bacterial small subunit ribosomal RNA", at positions 907 to 1533 of the family's 1533-position model. Lineage: Bacteria; Pseudomonadati; Pseudomonadota; Gammaproteobacteria; Enterobacterales; Enterobacteriaceae. RNAcentral also lists the same sequence under 4 other names. The record is from RNAcentral.